RNAcentral lists this ribosomal RNA (206 nucleotides) under uncultured bacterium. RNAcentral's name for it is "partial 16S ribosomal RNA". It matches the Rfam family "Bacterial small subunit ribosomal RNA", at positions 568 to 774 of the family's 1533-position model. The record is from RNAcentral.
UGCGCAGGCGGUUUUGUAAGACAGGUGUGAAAUCCCCGGGCUUAACCUGGGAACUGCGCUUGUGACUGCAAGGCUAGAGUACGGCAGAGGGGGGUGGAAUUCCACGUGUAGCAGUGAAAUGCGUAGAUAUGUGGAGGAACACCGAUGGCGAAGGCAGCCCCCUGGGCCGAUACUGACGCUCAUGCACGAAAGCGUGGGAGCAAACA